CCCCUACCCGAGGCGGCAGGAGCCAGGAAGCCGGUGCGAGUCCGGCGCGGUCCCGCCACUGUGACCAAGCGAAUCCGCUUGGCAGCCAGGAACUGACCUGCCGCCCUUCUUCCAC
RNAcentral lists this non-coding RNA (115 nucleotides) under Streptomyces sp. The record is from RNAcentral. Lineage: Bacteria; Bacillati; Actinomycetota; Actinomycetes; Kitasatosporales; Streptomycetaceae.